AUGGAGCUUUAGACACCAGGCAGAUCACGUCAAAAACCUUGAAUUAACAAGUAAAAACGCAGUGACCCCUAGCCCAUAUGUCUUUGGUUGGGGCGACCGCGGGGGAAAAUUAAGCCCCCAUGUGGACUGGGGGCACUGCCCCCACAGCCAAGAGCCACAGCUCUAAGCACCAGAAUAUCUGACCAAAAAUGAUCCGGCAAACGCCGAUCAACGGACCG
RNAcentral lists this ribosomal RNA (218 nucleotides) under Oncorhynchus nerka (sockeye salmon). RNAcentral's name for it is "partial 16S ribosomal RNA". The record is from RNAcentral. Lineage: Eukaryota; Metazoa; Chordata; Actinopteri; Salmoniformes; Salmonidae.